Molecule: long non-coding RNA, 4422 nt
Organism: Astatotilapia calliptera (eastern happy)
Lineage: Eukaryota; Metazoa; Chordata; Actinopteri; Cichliformes; Cichlidae
Source: Ensembl
AUAAAUAAGGCAGCAUCCAAAGAGCAACAAAUGCAAGUUCACAGUAAAAGCCAGGUGAUAGGGGUUCACAGGAAGCUGGCAGCAGACUCAAAACAAAGUCCAGAAACUAUGAAGAAAAGUUUAGAUUUCAACUCUAAAUCUGCUAAAGUUGAGAAAGUGAAGUCUAAGCCUGUGAGGGUUAAAAGCAAACCCACAGGAAUCAGUUCACCAGGUAAACUCAGUCAUACAGACUCAGCAAGCUUUCACCUGAGUGACACUUUGGAUGAAGAGAGCAUAGUGGGCUCUCAGCAGGUUUCUGAGGUGAAAAAAAUCCCCAAAUCUAAAGAGAAGAAAACAGAUUUGUCUAAGAAAAACAAGAAUGAAAAAAACAUGAAAGAAGCUCAAAUCAAAAAAGGGUCAGAGGUUCAGGAAAAGUCAACAGAUCUCAGCCUGCUUGUUGGAGCUGCUUCGCUCGCUGCAGGAGCAGCUUUGAUCCAAGCUGGAAGACGAUUAAGCUCCACAUCCCUUUCUGAGAACAGUUGUGCUGUACUUAAAGAGGGUGUGACUAAAUCACUGAGUGAGGAAUCUGAAUCUUACGCUGCCAAUUUUAGCCACAGAUCUGCUGUCAGCAUCAACAUCAUACCCGCACCUGAAAGUCCUGAAAUGAGGACAAUCUCAGAUCAAAGUGAACAGCAGAUGGACUCUGCCGCAAUCAAAGAGGAAGAGGAGGAUAAUGACGAAGAGGGUGAAGAGGAAGAAGGGCAGACAGAUGCAAAAGUAAGCGAGGAAGAGGAGGAUGUUAGUCACAUUAUUAAGAAAGUGGCAGAGAACACUGAGGAUGAAAAAGAGAGUGACACUCUUCACUCUGGAGAGAAGUCAGACAGCGAUGUAGAUGAGGAGGAGGAUGAGAGCAAUGUUGUGGUAGAAGAUGAAGAAGAGGAGGAGGAAAAGAGUGGAGUAACAGAAAGUGAAAGCAAAACAGAGACUGAAGAGAAAGACAGAAACGGAGGUGAUGUAGAAGAAGAGGAGUCGGAGGAAGAGGAAAGUGAGGAAGGGUCAAGUCACGAAGCAGAGAGCAAACGUGGAGAUACUGAAAGUGACUUGGAAGAAGGGGACGAGGAAGAAGAAGGGAGUUUGGAGAGUGAGGGUGAAGAAGAUGAGGUUGAAAGUGAGUCUGUGAGGUCUUCAGAGAGAGAAGAAAGUGAGGAAGAGAGGGAGACCGAAGAAGGAGAAGAUGAAAAAGAGGAGGAAGAAAAAAGUAGUGCUGAAGAAGUAGAAGAGAGUAGUGAAGAGGAAAACAGUGAAAUUGAGGAAGAAGAGGAGGCGGAGGAACAAAGUGAGGAAAAGGAGGAAGAGACAGAGGAUGAGGAGGAGGAAGAAGAAAAAGAAGAGGAUGAACAAAGUGAGGAGAAGGAGGAAGAGACAGAGGAUGAAGAGGAGGCAGAAGAAAAAGAAGAGGAAGAAAGUGAGGAAAAGGAGGAAGAGACAGAGGAUGAGGAGGAGGAAGAAGAAGGAGAAGAGGAGGAAGAAAGUGAGGAAAAGGAGGCUGAAGCGGAAGAUGAGGAGGACCAGAGUGAGGAAGAAGAAGACGAGGAAGAGAAGGAAGAUGAAGAAGAAGAAGAGGAGAAGGUUGUCAAAAAGAAAAGGUCUGCUGAAGUGAAAAGACAAAGUGCUAAAUCAGCAACUAGAAGCAAACUAAGGUUAGGGGUCAAAGGUCAGGCGGCAGAACGUCACUGUGCGCCUUCAAACAUCAAACCGAUUUGAGGCUAAACAAUAACACAUGAGAGGAAAUCCAAUUUGUAAUCACCAGAGCAUGCGCCAUAGUGAGGGGUUUAAGUUCGGGCCUGUGGUUUAUUUGGAGCAACACCAGGACGAGUGCAGGUGUCCAUGAGUUGUGGUUGCAUUAUUUCUGCAUCUACAUAGUGCUAUAAAGGAGGGGUAAUUUCAAAUGCAGCAUUUCUACCAGUAAACAUCAGCAAACACAAACUGUUUGUGUCUACAUUUUGUCACAGUGUGUUGUUAGCCAAAGGUCCAGACACUGUAUUUCACAGGGAGAGAAAAGAAAGAGCUAACUUCACUAAAUGAUGGAAAUAGAUAAGGAAGACAGGAGGUUAUAUUUAUAAGUACGGACUGCUCAGUGGUAUUUGAUAAUUUUUUUUCAUAUUGUGAAGCAUGCUGCAAAGCAAACUAAGCUAGAUUAUCUGUGUUAGUUAAAGGUUGCAUUAAAAUAAUCUAGUGCAGGAUAAGCUGGUUAGCGUUCAGUAAGGUGAUGUUAUGAAUUUGAAGUUAAGUUGAUGAAGUUUAGAUUCAUUCACUGAAUUCCACCUCUAUAUUGUUUAGUAUAGAGACAGCAUAAACAGUGCUGACAGCAGAGAACAGCAGGGCAACUCAUAAAAUAUCUUCUUACAUUUGUUGAAUUCAGUUCUCCACAGAGAGCAGUAAACCUCAGAGCAGUAGCCCAGAUCAGUUGAUCACAGCCUGUACACUCAGAAAAUAUACUGGAGCCCACAAUAGAAAUUGUGAUUCUUUUCCCCACACUGAGCCAAUUAGGGCUGCUCGAUUAUGGCAAAAAUGAUAAUCACGAUUAUUUUCACUGAAAUUAAGAUCUCGAUUAUUUGACGAUAUUUAUUUAACAAUAACAAUGUAUUGAAUAAUGACUUUAAAGAUUGUCAAAAAAUAAUAUAAAAUAGUGUGCAAAUACUGAUAACAGUGCAAAUGUUUGCAAUAUAAAAAAUAAAUGAAAAAUGAGUUCUGACUCCGCGAACCCAUAAUGUUUCCACACCACUGAAGUUUUUUUUACCUCUCUUUUCAACCAACGGCAGUCACUCUCCUCUCCAAAUAACUUCUGCUUAGCUGUCCGAGCUUCCCUCGGGUCCUCUUAAUCAGCGGUCCCCAACCCCCGGGCCUCGGACCGGUACCGGUCCGUGAGUCGUUUGGUAUGAGAGAGUUGAGGCUCAGGUGUGAAAUGUAUAGUUUUCAGGGUUUUUAUCGGUUUUCAGCGUUAUUUUGUUAUUGUUUUUAUCGUUUACUCGGUUUUCCUUGGUCUUUUCACAUGUGUUAUGAAUAAAUCUUCUUUUUUUCGGUACCGGUACUAGUUUUAUUUUGUUGUAUUUAUCCGUGACACCUUAAAGGCCGGUCUGUGAAAAUAUUGCUGGGCAUAAACCGGCCCGUGGCGCAAAAAAGGUUGGGGACCGCUGCUCUUAAUUGUUGUGACACGUGUUCGAAAUGCAGAGACGUGCGCUCGAUUUGCCACACGGAGCAGCGCGAGAGUAAAGCACGAGGGAGGGGCUAAUAAUCGGCUCAGUCAUUUUUAAUGAUCGUUGAAAGCCCAGAUCGUAAUCGUGAUUAAAAUUCGAUUAAUUGAGCAGCCCUAGAGCCAAUUCAACCUAUUUUAGGGUUUCACUACCUACUGAAUCCCACUUUCACCCCUGAGUGUACUCAUUUUCUGCUUAGAGGCAAAGUCAUUUUGUACAAUGGAAGCAAAAGAAAAUAGAGCUAUUUUUGUUUCCUUCUUUUUCUCUGCUUAUUUUCUCAUUUUCAAUUAAGAUUUAAACUAAAGUUUGCAUUCUCAUUUAUUAAUAUUUUAUUAUUACAUUAAUACAGCACAAGCUUCAGUUAGCUUUGCACAAAAAUCGCUAGUAGAAACGUCCUUCAAAGAGGUACUUUUUACUUUCUUACUUUGAAUACAUUCAUAGCCAGUACUUUUUCACUUUUACUUCAGUAAAGAAGUUAAAUCAGUACUUAAGUACAGAAUGUUUGUCCUUUUUCCACCUCUGGAAUACACAAGCUUCUUUGUGUUUAUCUGAAUUUUAUGUUUUCAUUCUGAAACAGCUGGAACAUUUGCAUGUACUGUGCCUUUCCCUCUUACAUGUUAACCACACCAUCUUUUUGAUUUCAUAUAUUAUGAAUGUGUUUCUUUAUAGCUUUCUGAACCCUUUCUCUCAUAACGUUGUGUUGUUUUGGGCUGCUUUUGUAUUUCCAUCCAGCCUUUUGCUUUUGGUUUACAGCAAUGCUUACUCAUGUUUGUCUUAAGUAUUGAUUUAAAUGCUUUUUGGUUUACUUAUAUUUCCUUGGAAGCCUUUUCUUUUUGCUUCUGCUUCUGCUCAGUUAUGCAUGGCUCUUGCAACCAGAACUCUCUGAAUUUCCAGUAUUAUGACUAAUAGAGUACCCAAAUAUUCUUCAAACCUUCAGCCUUAAUCUUUGUCUUGCUCAAAUUUAAAUAUUUUAUCUGGAAUUAUUUAUGUUGCUAUUUCUAUUAAUUUGUAUUUGUAAUAAAUAUUUGUGUUGCAUUACAAUGUGUUUUUUUUUUAAUGUAUUAUGACAUAGGACAUUUGUUAAAGUAGGUCUUAAUGAUACUUAAUAGUCACAAUUGUUUGUGUACAUUCACUACUAAACAAGAUUGUAUUAGUUAUUUAGACCAGGCUGACAUCUGCUUCUGCUUCC